UGGGGAAUAUUGCACAAUGGGCGCAAGCCUGAUGCAGCAACGCCGCGUGAACGAUGAAGGUCUUCGGAUCGUAAAGUUCUGUUGCAGGGGAAGAUAAUGACGGUACCCUGUGAGGAAGCCCCGGCUAACUACGUGCCAGCAGCCGCGGUAAUACGUAGGGGGCUAGCGUUAUCCGGAAUUAUUGGGCGUAAAGAGCUUGUAGGCGGUUCGUCGCGUCUGGUGUGAAAGCCCAUCGCUUAACGGUGGGUUUGCGCCGGGUACGGGCGGGCUAGAGUGCAGUAGGGGAGACUGGAAUUCCCGGUGUAACGGUGGAAUGUGUAGAUAUCGGGAAGAACACCAAUGGCGAAGGCAGGUCUCUGGGCUGUUACUGACGCUGAGAAGCGAAAGCGUGGGGAGCGAACAGG
This 404-nucleotide ribosomal RNA is filed under the name Verrucomicrobiota bacterium. RNAcentral describes it as "Verrucomicrobia bacterium partial 16S ribosomal RNA". It matches the Rfam family "Bacterial small subunit ribosomal RNA", at positions 355 to 776 of the family's 1533-position model. Lineage: Bacteria; Pseudomonadati; Verrucomicrobiota. The record is from RNAcentral.